CGCUAGCUCAGUUGGUUAGAGCAGCUGACUCUUAAUCAGCGGGUCCGGGGUUCGAGUCCCUGGCGGCGCA
RNAcentral lists this transfer RNA (70 nucleotides) under Streptomyces sp. GKU 895. Its description in RNAcentral is "tRNA-Lys". It matches the Rfam family "tRNA". Rfam says of the family: Transfer RNA (tRNA) molecules are approximately 80 nucleotides in length. Their secondary structure includes four short double-helical elements and three loops (D, anti-codon, and T loops). Further hydrogen bonds mediate the characteristic L-shaped molecular structure. tRNAs have two regions of fundamental functional importance: the anti-codon, which is responsible for specific mRNA codon recognition, and the 3' end, to which the tRNAs corresponding amino acid is attached (by aminoacyl-tRNA synthetases). tRNAs cope with the degeneracy of the genetic code in two manners: having more than one tRNA (with a specific anti-codon) for a particular amino acid; and 'wobble' base-pairing, i.e. permitting non-standard base-pairing at the 3rd anti-codon position. The record is from RNAcentral. Lineage: Bacteria; Bacillati; Actinomycetota; Actinomycetes; Kitasatosporales; Streptomycetaceae.